AUGAUUCUUCUAACAGUGCUUCUGUUUUCAACCUUCUUGGGUAAGAGUGCUGGAAACUCUAUUGUCCCCAACACUGCAGUGAAGCAUGCAACAGAAGGAGAAAAUGUUCAGCUCAGCUGCAAGUACAAUGGAUCUGUUGACAGUCUGCACUGGUAUCGCCAGUUCAGUGACUCAGUGCCACAGUUUAUCAUUAUGGAUUAUAAAGGCUACAUAACCAAUGCAACUCCUCCUGUUCCUGGGAUAUCAAUCAAGCAUGACACAACAGCAAAGCAAGUUUCACUGGAGAUCUCAUCUGCUGAAGUCUCAGACUCUGCUGUCUACUACUGUGCCCUGCAGCCCACAGUGUCAGGAAACCCAGCUGCACUGAACAAAAACCCUCACAGCUAA
This is a non-coding RNA of Clupea harengus (Atlantic herring), 387 nucleotides long. The record is from the annotation of a RefSeq genome assembly. NCBI's taxonomy places the organism in Eukaryota, Metazoa, Chordata, Actinopteri, Clupeiformes, Clupeidae.